RNAcentral lists this ribosomal RNA (407 nucleotides) under uncultured prokaryote. Its description in RNAcentral is "bacterial SSU rRNA". It matches the Rfam family "Bacterial small subunit ribosomal RNA", at positions 355 to 774 of the family's 1533-position model. The record is from RNAcentral.
UGGGGAAUAUUGGGCAAUGGGCGAAAGCCUGACCCAGCGACGCCGCGUGGGCGAUGAAGGCCUUCGGGUUGUAAACCGCUUUCAGUAGGGACGAAGCGCAAGUGACGGUACCUACAGAAGAAGCACCGGCUAACUACGUGCCAGCAGCCGCGGUGAUACGUAGGGUGCGAGCGUUGUCCGGAAUUAUUGGGCGUAAAGAGCUUGUAGGCGGUUGGUUGCGUCGUAAGUGAAAACUCAGGGCUUAACCCUGGGCUUGCUUGCGAUACGGGCUGACUUGAGGAAGGUAGGGGAGAAUGGAAUUCCCGGUGGAGCGGUGGAAUGCGCAGAUAUCGGGAGGAACACCAGUGGCGAAGGCGGUUCUCUGGACCUUUCCUGACGCUGAGAAGCGAAAGCGUGGGGAGCAAACA